GAUGAACGCUGGCGGCGUGCCUAAUACAUGCAAGUCGAGCGAACGGACGAGAAGCUUGCUUCUCUGAUGUUAGCGGCGGACGGGUGAGUAACACGUGGAUAACCUACCUAUAAGACUGGGAUAACUUCGGGAAACCGGAGCUAAUACCGGAUGAUAUUUUGAACCGCAUGGUUCAAAAGUGAAAGACGGUCUUGCUGUCACUUAUAGAUGGAUCCGCGCUGCAUUAGCUAGUUGGUAAGGUAACGGCUUACCAAGGCAACGAUGCAUAGCCGACCUGAGAGGGGGAUCGGCAAAAGGGAAAGGGAGAAAGGGAAAAAAAACCAAGGGGAGGAAGGAGAGGGAAAUGUUCGGAAAGGGGGGAAAGGGGAAAGGAGAAAAGCGGGGGGGGGGAAGAAGGGUUUGGGAUGGAAAAACUCUGUUAUUGGGGAAAAAAAAAGGGGAAAGAAAAUGGGAAAAAAUGAAGGGUACCAAAAAAAAAAGCCAGGGCAAAAAAGGU
Molecule: ribosomal RNA, 496 nt
Filed under: uncultured bacterium
Lineage: Bacteria
Description: partial 16S ribosomal RNA
Rfam family: Bacterial small subunit ribosomal RNA (bases 20-341)
Source: RNAcentral